GUUGUUAUCGAAAUUCAGGGGAUCGGAUCUGGAGAGCUGGCGAGCCAGGGAGGGAGAGAUUUACCCUGUUUGAUGACAGUUUUCCCUGGAAAUCCAUCAGCGUGGAAGUGUGAAGUGCCGGCCAGGGAUUUUAAUUGCAAAGUUAGAAACAACACGCGGCUUAGCAGCAACUUUUCAGUCAAUGCGAUUAGCAGAUGGGACACCGAAAAUUCCGGAAAACUUUCUGCCGACCAAAGAGCAUUAACAUUUUUGGAUAUAUUUGUGCAGGGGGACAAAGGCGAACCUGUUCUAAUCUGAUGCAGCUCGGUUGCACUUGAGAGGAUUUGUCGGAGCUGUUGCAGACAAAAGCCCAUUAAGGGAUAAGGGAUUGUUCGGCGGACAGUCGCAUCCUAGUCGCGGUUUCUGUUUGUCCAGACCGCAAAAACUAGUCCCGGAUCGGGACGAGAGUAUGGGUUAUUGUAAUGCCAUUAGGGCUUAGCGUGACGGACACUUUGCGUGGGCCGCGAUUAUCGAUCAAAGCCGCAAAAUGCCAACAGGUAGAACCGGAGGACCGUCCAGAGCCCGUGCCCAUUUUCCAGAUAUAGCAAUAUUAACAUCUUAGUGCUUAUUGAAACAUUUAAUCGCGCUAUUGAAAAGAUAAGUUAUUCCGAUAGGAUAAUUCUCCUUCUUCCUCAAAUAAAUACCCUUUGUCCACAUAUGUGAUGCCUGCCCACUGGAAGUAUUAAUAUGCAAACGCAAUAAUAAAACUGCAAAUGGAAAAUGGCAAACAGCAGCGGAUUGUCGGAGUAGCUGGCAAGUGAACUUAAUUUACAAUCGCGCGGAGAGUCAUUCAUUUGGAGCAAACACCUGCGAGUUGCAAGUUGCAAGUGGCAAACUCCUACCUACUACUUUUUUCGUUUGUGCCCCAGUGCCUCCGUGUGUGGGGCGAUAUUGAAAUGCUCGGGGGAUCGGGCGAUGGGGAGCCGUGUAUGAUUUUUGAUUUAUGAUCUGUCACAAAAAUAGUUGCCCCCGCCCCACUGUGCGGAAUAAAAUGCGUGCAGAAGGAACGGCGAGAGGAACAGGAAGGCACUAAAAGAUAUUUACGAUGCCCAUGGUGCGGCAGCGAAGUUAUGCAUAAAACUUUCUAUAGAAGUCAGAACUUGUGCCGGGCCUAUCUUAACACGAUCAAAGCCAGCCACAACAACAGAAGCAAUCAAUUUUCGUUGUUGUGAUAGCCGCGGGUAGUCAGACAGCCCGUCUGUCCUGCUCCCAAUGCCCCGACCCGCCCAGUCCUUCACUCCGGGCCAGCAGAUAUCCACUAAGCCUGGCCAAAAGGAGCUGCAGGCGAGGCGGCCGCUUAAUAAAUAUGAUAAUGCAGCGCACACAUGUUCCAGCCGGCGAGAACUUGGCCGGCCUGCUCCACUAAUUAAUGUUACAGCGACAUGGGCAGUCGCUCUACCUCCACCAUCCUGGAGCUGGUUCUAGUUCUAGUCCUGGUGCUGGUUCUCUGGAUCCCUGCAAUAUGCAACCCCACAACACCCCGCAUACCCCAAUAAUAAUAAAUAGUGUCAAGAUUAA
Long non-coding RNA from Drosophila mauritiana, 1557 nucleotides. RefSeq lists it as uncharacterized. Lineage: Eukaryota; Metazoa; Arthropoda; Insecta; Diptera; Drosophilidae. The transcript is spliced from 2 exons. The record is from RefSeq and is a predicted model, not a curated record.